UUUGAAGGAGACAGGGUUGUUAUGUUGGAGGACUUUAAAAUGCAUGGCAGUGGUUAAAGCAGAUUGGACCAAAGACAAUCUAACUAAACUAGAGAGAGUCAUGCUAUACUGUAGCUGCAGGCCACUUUAUUUCUCUAUCUCCCUGUUUUUGUGACACAAUAGUCAGUUUGAGGUGCUUGAGGAUUCCUGUGGUUAACAAAAAAUCAGAGAGGAGAAGCUGUGCAGAAGUUCUCUCCAGGCUCGGGGAUGUUGAAAUUUUCCACCUGUAACUCAGGCAACAAACUUCUAAUUAUUCAUGAAAUGUAGCUCUGUUUUGUCACGCAAGGCUGGGGACAACCUGACAAAUGUGGGUCAUAGAAAAACAUAUUUUUUUGGACUAAAGUUACAUUUGCAAAACAGGUGUACACCUCACACCUAGCUGUAAUGCUAAAUUACUCUUUUAUAGUUUGUUAAUGACUUGUAAAUACCAAAGUAAGUGUGGAACAAGCCCCAAAUGGUUGCUUGCUCUGAAACCGUUGCUUUAUUAGAGUUUUGGUCAUUAGCAAGGAUUGUGAAUGUACUGAAAAGUGCAUAAGUCCUUCUGAUACCAGCUCAGUCAGAUCAGUUGACAUCUUUUAUUGACUGCAGCUCUGCCUUCCUCCUAAAAAUCAUGCUGGUUUAAUUACAAGUUGAGCCUAAACUGUAAGUAGAAUCCUGAUUUCACUUUUUGCUCCAAUGAGGAUGUAUUGGGCAACAACUACACACUUAAAAUUCCUCACCAGGUUUCAGUUACACUGAUCUAAUCCCUUAAAUAUUAGACGGUGAAACACAGCCACAUGUGGCGCUUACUCUAGAGUCACUAGGCUGACUUGAGAAUGACAUUUUCAAACAAUAACCUCUGCUUAUGGUCCUCAGAGACUGUAUACAGCACCUUAAAAAGGCAAUGUAUAAAUAAAGUUAUAAAGUAAAUCUAAUACGCGGAAGCAUCGUGAACUUGUAAUUUGGAAAAAUAACCUUAUAAUUGCUAUCUGGUAGGAUGAAUGGUAUAUGCAGGUAUAGCAGAUUAUAGCCACUUCUUUUUCAAUGAGUGCACCUAUUUCCUAAGUAUCACUGAAGCAUAUUCCUCUUUCAACAUGUCAUUAAACAUAUGCAUAAGCUCUUAAAGGUUCUCCUGUACCAAAGACUUGGAGGUACAUGUACAAUAACAAAAGUAUAGGACGGAGACAGGAGAGACCUUUCACACAGUGACAUGGAUUUCAAAUCAAGCUUAAUUGGGCUUUUGAGAUUUAUUUCUUUCUUGAUCACAUUACUUCCUUUUUAAAUCUCUCUGUACACAAAUCACAUCAUUACACACCUUUUAGCUCAUAAAACAUUUUAUUAUAAAACUCACCCUCCCACAUGGAAGACACUGCUCUGAAGUGUUUGCUCCCCACAAGAUGAGAUGAAUACUAAAUCACGUCAGGUUUUGUGGACAAAAUCUGAGCUACGUUUAUGUGUUUAUAGUGUAUUAAAUGCAAGUGACCGCAGGCACCGGCUUAUUUUACUGCAUAUAAUUGUAAAAUAUAUACACAUUUUUCAUAUUCUAGCUUCAUAAUUUAACAUUUAUCAACAUUUUUCAAGACUUCAUAACAAAACAAAAAGAUUAGUUUUGACACAAUUUCAAGUGGCGAAGACACAGAUUGGCAGCUUCGUUACAAGAGAGCAAUACUAACAAAAACAAUGUUUUUACUUUCCCUUUUUUUUUUUUUUUGCUAAACAGCUUAAUGUGGAGCAGUGGAAGAAAGACCGCUGGUUUGAGUCCCUGGACUGGAUCUGUGUGGACCCUCAAACAGGUCUGCCCCCACUGAGAACCAGUGCCAGUUUUGCACAAACUCCACAAAACCAGAUGGAUGCCCGACCUGAGAUCAGUUCAACACAGUAUGACAGAUAGCAGUUCAGUAUCCAAAACAUGCACAGAGUUGGCAUUAGACCUACAGUACACAUAGUAUAUAACCAGGUGGACAAAAUAACAGAAACAUAUAUAAUAUAUCACAACACUGCAAAAUAACAAUUAAUAAAAUUCUGUCUUCCACUCUCAACAUAAUUGUCCCACAGUAGUGUUUUUAUAGGGCUGUACUGUAUUAUUUUGUUUCUUCUGUAUCCACCUGUAUACAUACAUACACUCAGCUGCCACUUUAUUAUGUAGUCUACACAUGUACAAUCUAUUGAAACUUAAUACAACGGUUCUGCCAUAAAUUCUGUCUCUGAAGUUAA
This is a long non-coding RNA of Dicentrarchus labrax (European seabass), 2232 nucleotides long. RefSeq lists it as uncharacterized. NCBI's taxonomy places the organism in Eukaryota, Metazoa, Chordata, Actinopteri, Moronidae. The transcript is spliced from 2 exons. The record is from RefSeq and is a predicted model, not a curated record.